AAAAAAGAACAGUGUUUGAGGGUAGAAAUUAUAGGUAAAAAACCCAUAAAAAUGGAAAAACUACCUUUGGCUGCUGCAGUUAGGCUCUUGCAUCAAAAAUGUGGUAACAAUUAGGAACAACUGUCCUCUGCCACUUUACAGUUCUUCUUUUCAAGAGGACAUCUCAAACUACUGUCUAACAAAUUUCAGUCUAAUGCUAGUCUCAUUUAAAAUGUCAUUGAAUUAUACUGAGCUUUAAAAAGCCUCCAGGAUUCAGUUUUUGUCUUGGAUUUGGAUACUAACAAACCCUAUUUCUAUUUUUUCCCCUGUAGCCUGGAAAGAACAAAGCUUCCAGUUUCCUUGAUAGGCUUGCAUAUCAAGCAACUCAGUUAUUUACAUGAAGACAUUUCUCCAAAAGGAAAUUGUAUAAGCUCUGGGACUACUUUUCCACCCUGUGUACAACAAAUCUUCCAAUUAUUCAGUAACUUCAAGGUGUUAUUCCUAUAGGAAUUCCAAGUGCCCAUGGUCUAAUAAAGUGUAGCAAAUAAAUCUGAUUUAUCCAGUGACACAGUUUUUUAAAAUAUUUUCCUUUUUGUUUUAUAUGGCAAGAUGAAAGAAAACUAUGCUAGUAGGUGCCCUGUAAACAGAAUUGUUCAUGAACAUAGUUUAAAUGCCUCAAAUCUGAGCACACAUUCAACUCAUCAGUCAAGUGUCAAAACAGCUUAAUUGCUUUUUUCACAGCUUUGAUCAUACUUGUGUUUUAUUGGGCUGUUCACAUUUUCUGUUAUAAUCACUUGUUAUCUUUCCAUACAGUUCUAACAAGUACUGUCUUCAUCAAGAUUUUUGUUGUUCAACUUCCCUAUUUCAUUUUUAAUCUGCUAAAUGAGCAUUUCCUUUCUUUAGAAAAACAAAUAAAUCAAAAGGGUCAAUUUGCUUUUGUGUCUUGAAACAAAGCCCUUUUUGUUUGAUUUCUGCUUGGUCAUUUAUUAUCCUCAGCAUGUUUGAUAUUUGUGAUAACGAAUUUUACAAGGAAUAAAUUACAUGUGCAUCCUGAUGAAUAAAGCCCCUGUUACUGUGCAGUUAAUAAUGCUGGUUGCAAACUUUGUUAAUGUCUUACAAAUAUUUUUGGUAAUAACACAUCAGGCUUUAUUUAUAUUUCCUAGGAGAAAGCUGUCUUUUAGCAAACUCAGCAAUUUAUAAAGAGGCAUGACUGGUGUUAUCCAAGGAGAUUUUUAAUCUUAAACCCUCCUGUUCUCAAUUAAAAGGAAAAUGGAGCUGUAAUACCCAUGAUACUCGCACCAUGUGAUGGUUGUGACCUGCUGCCUAUCCCAGCUGAAAGUGACAAGGAUCAACAAUUAGGCACAGUUUUCUCUUAUUCCAAUUCCUUCAGCACUGGUGUUAAAUAGAUGAGUUUACUGGGGAGCUAAGAUGAGCCACUCUGGUCCAUAAUCAUCUGAAUUACGGUUUGUCAAAGUACUCAACUGUGCACUAAAUCCUAUGGACUUCAUUAGAAUGCCUCAGACCAGUCUUGUUGGAGCAGUUUGUUAAAUCCAUGGCAAUUGCACUAAUAAGCUGAGUUACACUCAGAUCUCUCCCACAGGUGCCUGGAUAUGUUUGCAGCAGAUUCAGCCUUGUGCAGCAGGCCAAGGAUGGCACAAUUUGUGCUGACUGUUGUGAGUCAAGCCAGAUAUGUAAAAGUUGAUGGCUGCAGCAGCCCCAGAAUAUUGAUGCUUCUGAUUUUUGUGGAAAUCUAGUUUAUGAGUUCAACGUGAUGCAAGCCUGUGAGGAUGAAUGGAAGCAGUGCUGGAGAAGUCCAGGUAGUCAGGCUGGAGCUGUGACCCCCGGUCACGUAGAGUUUCACAACCUGCUGGAGCCCCUUGGUAUUCCAUGGGUUUUCUUCAGAGGGAUGAAAAUCCACCUGCUUGGCUCAGCUUGCCAAAGCUGAACAGCAAAGUGUACACAUAGCUGGAGGAACUUUGAGGAAAGUUAAGAAAUUGUAUAAACAGGCUGCAUUCUGUUCUGCUUGAUCAUUUUGGGGAUUAGGAACUGAUCCUUUCCAAAAAUCGUAGAUGAAGAUUCUGUUACUCCUCCAGAAACUGACAGCAACUCAGGAAAAAAAGAGGCAGAAAUCCAAAGAAUUUUCUGGGCCAUUUCGCAGUGUUGGGUGACAUCAGGUCAAGUCCAGUACAAAUGCAGAAUUUGCCCUGAUUGCUGCUUCAGAAAUUUGCAGCAUUCAGCUUGCUUAGUUUCCUUGGAAAUGCUGGCAGAUAUGUAAGGGACUCUCUGGAGCAGAGAUAGAAAACCCAAGACUGAGAAUGACCUCUUAACAUGGUGUUGAAGGCUCAGAGAGGGAGCUCUGUAUUCUACUUGGUGGUCAGAGGGCAGAUGCUUUUAUUUUAAAUGAGUAUAGGAGAAAAUAAUUUUGGGAUGGAGUUAAAAAAGGUAAAACCUGUUUCUCUCUUAGCUUAGUCCACAGCACUUUUUUUUUCUUUGAAAGAGAUAAUUGCUGCCCAGAUUCCAAACCAGUGUGUGUGAUUUUCCUGCUGUCUAAAUCCUGGGUAUAUGCACCUCUCCAGUUAGUGUUUCUAACAGCAGCCAGGAAAACAAGUUCCUGCUCUCUUGUCCCAUUCCAAGUAGUCCUGAAUUGUGUAUAAACUUAGUUGCUCACCCACAGUCAGAGACUCUUGUGUAGCAAUUUGUCAGAAAAGGUCCAAAUGUGUGGCAAAUAGACCAGAACUGCAAUUCACAAUUCCUGGCUGCCAGCUCCCAAUUGCAAUGGGAGGUGCUGAUGUUUGCUUUCACACGUUUGCUUUUAACCAACAAAAACCACGUGUCCGUGAUGAGAAGCUAAUCCUGUAUCACAUGGAGAACCAGAUCUUAUUGCUAUUAUCCAUUUUAGCUUUCUAUCUGUUGUUUGGAUCAGAUUUUUUUUUUGUUUUAAUUUGAAGGGAAAAAAAUGGAAAAUUAUUAUAAGCUACAUUCACCUAUGUAAUUGUCCUUGCCUAAAUUACUGCUUUUCAAUAGCAAGCUUUCUUAAAGUAUGGCAAUGCAGUUUUGGCAUGACACAACGCAUAAUUCUCAUGUUUCUCCUUGUAAAUUUCCACUAUGGUCAUCAUUUCCAGCUGAUCCUCCAAAAAUUUUGCUCUUGGCUUCUAUUUUAUAAGUACAAUGAAGGCUGUGCCAAUAACUUGUGCUUAUCUAGCUUGGUUACAACAGUUACAGUCUGGUUUUCCAGCCUUAGGAAACAACUGAAACAAUAUUGAUUUGCUUCAAGCCUGCCAGUUUAACUGGCACCAUAAUCAAGAUUCCAGUAGCUUUCUAAGUUUGGGGGUUUCUUCCCAGUGUAUCUGCCAUGUAUGCAACUUCAUUAAAAAUAAGGAAAAGCUA
This is a long non-coding RNA of Passer domesticus (house sparrow), 3366 nucleotides long. RefSeq lists it as uncharacterized. The record is from RefSeq and is a predicted model, not a curated record. NCBI's taxonomy places the organism in Eukaryota, Metazoa, Chordata, Aves, Passeriformes, Passeridae. The transcript has 8 exons.